RNAcentral lists this ribosomal RNA (274 nucleotides) under uncultured bacterium. RNAcentral describes it as "partial 16S ribosomal RNA". It matches the Rfam family "Bacterial small subunit ribosomal RNA", at positions 523 to 796 of the family's 1533-position model. The record is from RNAcentral.
CUACGAAGGGGGCAAGCGUUGUUCGGAAUAACUGGGCGUAAAGCGCACGUAGGCGGAAUGUUAAGUUAGAGGUGAAAUCCCAGGGCUCAACCCUGGAACGGCCUUUAAUACUGGCAAUCUAGAGACCGAGAGAGGUGAGUGGAAUUCCGAGUGUAGAGGUGAAAUUCGUAGAUAUUAGGAAGAACACCAGUGGCGAAGGCGGCUCUCUGGCUCGGUACUGACGCUGAGGUGCGAAAGCGUGGGGAGCAAACAGGAUUAGAAACCCUAGUAGUCC